Long non-coding RNA from Poecilia latipinna (sailfin molly), 972 nucleotides. RefSeq lists it as uncharacterized. NCBI's taxonomy places the organism in Eukaryota, Metazoa, Chordata, Actinopteri, Cyprinodontiformes, Poeciliidae. The transcript is spliced from 2 exons. The record is from RefSeq and is a predicted model, not a curated record.
UACAUUUUUAUUUUAAUUAUUGAUUUGGGUUUCUUUCAGUUUUAUGGGAUCUGGUGGCCUUUAUUCGAUAGUGAUUUGACAGGAAAUGAGAGAAGAGCAGGCCGGGAAUCGAACCUGCAACCCCUGCGCCCCACUGAGCCCCCUGAAUGAUCCGUUAAUCCAUAAUCUAUUACUGAAUUAAUUUAGGAUACAUUCAGUAGAAAACAGAACCAGAACCUCUAAAACCUUCUGUUCAUCUCCAGAACUGCUGAAGAACUGGACUGAAACGGGUCAGUAGAACGGAUCAGAACCGGUUUUGUCGGCUGCAGUCUGUUUCUUUUCCUGACCUGGCGGACAGAACAUCAACUCCUCCAUGUUCUAGGUUCUAUAGAUCUAGGUGCAGGCAGGUCCAGUCAGGUGCGCAUGCGCACUGGAGAUAACCCUUCAAGUAAAAAAAGAAAAGAAUAGUUUUUGGAUUUUUUUAUUAUCUAACCCUCUUUACUAUUAAAAUUGUGGAGAAAAAUGAUCUUUUGGGUGAAAACGUCUUGUAAAGUCUGUUGUGGGAACGCCAAAGCCUGAAUCCGAUUGGUCAGUUUGCUUUUGUUUAUUUGGCAGCUUGGUGUUUUUUCUGUGAGCUAAAAAUGAAAGAGGGAGUUUGAUCCUCCCGUAGUUCAAAGAGCCGUUUGGAUCCCGCCUGAGCUUUUCAGCUGUGUGGUUCUGGUGGGUCGCCGGUUUUAUGGUUUGGCGAACGGAAGAGCUGAUGGGUCACCGGUUGGCCGACCGUGAAAUCUGCCGCUCUUCCUGAGCGUGGCGCUACACCUGCGGGUUAAACAGUGGAAAUGUUGACCAAAGAGUAGAAAUGAAGCAGACAUUGUUGCUUCUCCUCCUCUGGACGUCUCAGAGCCACCGGAACCUGGGAAUCUCCUUCCUCCUCCCGGUCCACAUCAUGUCUUCUUAUUUAGCAUAAUUUGUGGAAAAAUAAAUGAAUAAAAA